CAGUCGCCGCGGUAAUACGUACGUCCCGAGCGUUGUCCGGAUUUAUUGGGCGUAAAGCGAGCGCAGGCGGUUUCUUAAGUCUGAUGUGAAAGCCCCCGGCUCAACCGGGGAGGGUCACUGGAAACUGGGAAACUUGAGUGCAGAAGAGGAGAGUGGAAUUCCACGUGUAGCGGUGAAAUGCGUAGAGAUGUGGAGGAACACCAGUGGCGAAGGCGACUCUCUGGUCUGUAACUGACGCUGAGGAGCGAAAGCGUGGGGAGCGAACAGGAUUAGAUACCCCCGUAGUCCCUGUCUCUUAUAC
Molecule: ribosomal RNA, 301 nt
Filed under: uncultured bacterium
Lineage: Bacteria
Description: partial 16S ribosomal RNA
Rfam family: Bacterial small subunit ribosomal RNA
Source: RNAcentral